CCUGGCUCACGUUGAGGGCUAGCUACAGGCUUAACACAUGCAAGUCGAGGGGCAGCAUUUCAGUUUGCUUGCAAACUGGAGAUGGCGACCGGCGCACGGGUGAGUAACACGUAUCCAACCUGCCGAUAACUCGGGGAUAGCCUUUCGAAAGAAAGAUUAAUACCCGAUGGCAUAAUUAGACCGCAUGGUCUUAUUAUUAAAGAAUUUCGGUUAUCGAUGGGGAUGCGUUCCAUUAGGCAGUUGGUGAGGUAACGGCUCACCAAACCUUCGAUGGAUAGGGGUUCUGAGAGGAGGGUCCCCCACAUUGGAACUGAGACACGGUCCAAACUCCUACGGGAGGCAGCAGUGAGGAAUAUUGGUCAAUGGGCGCAGGCCUGAACCAGCCAAGUAGCGUGAAGGAUGACUGCCCUAUGGGUUGUAAACUUCUUUUAUAUGGGAAUAAAGUUUUCCACGUGUGGAAUUUUGUAUGUACCAUAUGAAUAAGGAUCGGCUAACUCCGUGCCAGCAGCCGCGGUAAUACGGAGGAUCCGAGCGUUAUCCGGAUUUAUUGGGUUUAAAGGGAGCGUAGGUGGAUAGUUAAGUCAGUUGUGAAAGUUUGCGGCUCAACCGUAAAAUUGCAGUUGAUACUGGCUGUCUUGAGUACAGUAGAGGUGGGCGGAAUUCGUGGUGUAGCGGUGAAAUGCUUAGAUAUCACGAAGAACUCCGAUUGCGAAGGCAGCUCACUGGACUGCAACUGACACUGAUGCUCGAAAGUGUGGGUAUCAAACAGGAUUAGAUACCCUGGUAGUCCACACAGUAAACGAUGAAUACUCGCUGUUUGCGAUAUACAGUAAGCGGCCAAGCGAAAGCAUUAAGUAUUCCACCUGGGGAGUACGCCGGCAACGGUGAAACUCAAAGGAAUUGACGGGGGCCCGCACAAGCGGAGGAACAUGUGGUUUAAUUCGAUGAUACGCGAGGAACCUUACCCGGGCUUAAAUUGCAUUUGAAUAAUCUGGAAACAGGUUAGCCGUAAGGCAAAUGUGAAGGUGCUGCAUGGUUGUCGUCAGCUCGUGCCGUGAGGUGUCGGCUUAAGUGCCAUAACGAGCGCAACCCUUAUCUUUAGUUACUAACAGGUUAUGCUGAGGACUCUAGAGAGACUGCCGUCGUAAGAUGUGAGGAAGGUGGGGAUGACGUCAAAUCAGCACGGCCCUUACGUCCGGGGCUACACACGUGUUACAAUGGGGGGUACAGAAGGCAGCUACCUGGUGACAGGAUGCUAAUCCCAAAAGCCUCUCUCAGUUCGGAUCGAAGUCUGCAACCCGACUUCGUGAAGCUGGAUUCGCUAGUAAUCGCGCAUCAGCCAUGGCGCGGUGAAUACGUUCCCGGGCCUUGUACACACCGCCCG
RNAcentral lists this ribosomal RNA (1384 nucleotides) under uncultured bacterium. RNAcentral's name for it is "bacterial SSU rRNA". It matches the Rfam family "Bacterial small subunit ribosomal RNA", at positions 18 to 1396 of the family's 1533-position model. The record is from RNAcentral.